This 336-nucleotide unclassified non-coding RNA is filed under the name soil metagenome. RNAcentral's name for it is "partial contains 5.8S ribosomal RNA, internal transcribed spacer 2, and large subunit ribosomal RNA". The stretch from base 1 to 120 matches the Rfam family "5.8S ribosomal RNA", at positions 35 to 154 of the family's 154-position model. The record is from RNAcentral.
GAUGAAGAACGUAGUGAAAUGCGAUAAGUAGUGUGAAUUGCAGAAUUCAGUGAAUCAUCGAAUCUUUGAACGCACAUUGCGCCCUUUGGUAUUCCUUAGGGCAUGCCUGUUCGAGCGUCAUUUGAAACCUCAAGCUCAGCUUGGUGUUGGGUGUCUGUCCCCGCCUCCGCGGGGACUCGCCUCAAAAUCAUUGGCGGCCGGUACGUUGGCUUCGAGCGCAGCAGAAACGCGAACUCGCGGCCCGGCGGAUCGGCGACCAGAAGUCUCUUCUUCACAGUUUGACCUCGGAUCAGGUAGGGAUACCCGCUGAACUUAAGCAUAUCAAUAAGCGGAGGA